Long non-coding RNA from Populus trichocarpa (black cottonwood), 562 nucleotides. RefSeq lists it as uncharacterized. The transcript has 2 exons. Lineage: Eukaryota; Viridiplantae; Streptophyta; Magnoliopsida; Malpighiales; Salicaceae. The record is from RefSeq and is a predicted model, not a curated record.
UUCACUUUUACACAACUGCCACUCUCCCCUCCAUUCCAUCUUCAUCGAUUUCUCUUUGCUAGAAACGAAACAACUAUCUCUUCUCGAGACGAUAAGGACGUGAAGGGGAGAGAGAAAGACAAGAGAUGAUGCAGAAACGACGCCUCAAAGGAAGCAGUGAUGUGAGGUUCUAUGUUUGUUUGCUGCCCUGCCAUGCUUUCUGUUUCCGCACCAUGAAGCAUGCUUCCCUGGUUUUGAUCCGACGACCCAGUUUUAUAGUUUAAAGAUUUUGACAGUGUCGCAACCCAAUUAUCACGCAGAAGCAAUUUUCUGCGUAACGAGGAUUGAAAUGCACAAAUUCUUGUGCUCUAGUUAUUUUCUCAGUGACCCUUGUUGGGAGCGUCCACUGGUAUGGAGGAUGGGUGGCCUGCGUCAUGUACAUGGUUGUCAAGGAACUGCUGUUUCUAAACCUGUAUGCUGUAUGACUGUAUCUAUUGAUCUUCACUUUGUAAGGAUGAUUAGUCAUGGAAAGAAAAAUCCUCUAUUUUUGAGGUCUAUCAAUUUGGAAUCUCUCUUUUUUUUC